Molecule: long non-coding RNA, 635 nt
Organism: Esox lucius (northern pike)
Lineage: Eukaryota; Metazoa; Chordata; Actinopteri; Esociformes; Esocidae
Exons: 3
Source: RefSeq, a predicted model, not a curated record
AACAACAGUUCUGCAAAAUACAAAUGCUUUUGGAUUCAAUAGGACUCAGUCCCACAAGAUCUUGCUUAGACACAUACAAUUUAAAAAAGUAAAGGGGGCAUGGCAGUCUACUAUCAAAGUAUUUUGUUGUUGUCCAAAUAUGUCGUAUGGUGGAUUUAUUUAAUUGGUGAUACUGUUAAAUCAGACAGCAUUGCAAGAGUCUUCUGCCAUGUUAGUGUAGCUUGUUUUGUCCAUGUCACUAUAUUUCGCACUCUAACCACAGUAGCACCUGUCAUCUCCCCUCCCCUCCUCAACAAACAGAUGACUUAAUUCAAUCCAGUACAAGACUCAACAUGAAGAAUUUAGCUGGUUCACAACUUCUCAAAACCAAGUUAAGGUCUGCAUGAAACCGGAGUCUGAAGUUCGUUUUUCCUGAGUUUCCUGAACUCAUCCCGGCUGAGUCUCCAACCACUACACCUGCUGCGAUCUGCAUACCUGGUCCUGAUUACCAUUCCCUGCACCAUUAUAAGCCACGACCAGACAUCCAUUCCCUGCCGGUUCGUUAGCUCUACAGUUACUCAACUGGAUCGUCACUCAUACCUGCCUGGCCAUCUACCUCACUGCAGCACAUUUUGGAUCAGCACACAAGCCUCCCG